CACCACUAAAUGCUCAUGGGAAUGACUCAACAUUAGUAAUUGACAAUGAAGAAAAGCUGGUGACAAAUAAAAAACAAGAAAGAAAUAAGAGGCGGAGGAUCAGGAGAAGGCAAAAUGAAGAAGAAAGGAAGAAAAUGAGAGCUCAGUGUAUUAAAGACUUUAACUAAAGGUAAGUACUGUUGUACUUACGGGACAUCAUCUUAAGCCUGGUUCACACAAGCAACAAAAAACAAAUGCMAACCCAGACAACAUACGUAGAUUCAGUAGUGUUCUGCCCAUUGCCAGUACUUGUUUUUCUCUCACCUCAGUGAAAACUGCAGUACUGAGGCUGCGUAUGUUGCGUUUGUUGAGUCUGCGUAUGUUGCGUUUGCGUUGCUCAUAUGAUCCAGGCAUCUGUGAGGGGAAAUAGCCAUGGUAAUUCCAUGCCUACCACCCGGAAGGUGCUUUAAUUAGUUAUAGCAUCUGCGAGGGAAAAGCAUGCUAGGAGCUCUCAUGCUUUCCCGGAAGGUGCUUAGGAUAGUUACGCAUCUGUGAGGGCAAAUAGCCAUGGUAAUUCCAUGCCUACCACCCGGAAGGUGCUUAGUUAUGGCAUCUGCGAGGGAAGGGCAUAUAUGUCUGACCCGGAAGGUGCUUAGGAUUAAUUUUGAAAUGAAUUAAAAUCUGUUUUG
Long non-coding RNA from Actinia tenebrosa (Australian red waratah sea anemone), 668 nucleotides. The record is from RefSeq and is a predicted model, not a curated record. Lineage: Eukaryota; Metazoa; Cnidaria; Anthozoa; Actiniaria; Actiniidae.